Molecule: ribosomal RNA, 253 nt
Filed under: uncultured bacterium
Lineage: Bacteria
Description: partial 16S ribosomal RNA
Rfam family: Bacterial small subunit ribosomal RNA
Source: RNAcentral
UACAGAGGUCUCAAGCGUUGUUCGGAUUCAUUGGGCGUAAAGGGUGCGUAGGCGGCGCGGUAAGUCGGGUGUGAAAUCUCGGAGCUUAACUCCGAAACUGCAUUCGAUACUGCCGUGCUUGAGGACUGGAGAGGAGACUGGAAUUUACGGUGUAGCGGUGAAAUGCGUAGAUAUCGGGAGGAACACCAGUGGCGAAGGCAGCUCGCUGGGACGGUACUGACGCUGAGGCGCGAAAGCGUGGGGAGCAAACAGG